This 471-nucleotide ribosomal RNA is filed under the name Triticum aestivum (bread wheat). RNAcentral's name for it is "partial small subunit ribosomal RNA". The record is from RNAcentral. Lineage: Eukaryota; Viridiplantae; Streptophyta; Magnoliopsida; Poales; Poaceae.
AUGGGCUUCUGCGACAUUGAGCUCUUUAAUUUGGCACUUUUAGCUCGGCAGGCUUGGCGUCUGUUAUAUGAACCAGGCUCUCUCAGUGCCCGUAUUUUGAAGGUGGUGUAUUAUCCAAAUUGCUCGGUCCUUGAAGCUGAGGUGGGGAAGUAUCCAUCGCAAGUGUGGCGCUCUAUUGUUGAUGGAAGAGACACACUCAAGCUUGGUCUCAUAAAGCGGAUUGGUACAGGGGAGGACACGGAUAUUUGGCUGGACAAUUGGAUCCCCCAUGAUUUCAAACAUCGGCUGGUUUGUUCCAAGACCACAAGUCCACCACUAAAGGUCAUGGAAUUGAUUGAUCAUGCUACAACUUCAUGGAAUGUAAACCUGCUCGAUGAGCACUUCUAUGGGAUGGAUAAGGAGGCGAUCAUGAACAUCCCGAUCUCUUCAAAAGUGCAGCAAGAUUUUUGCGCGUGGCAUUGUGAGAAGUAG